RNA transcript from Mus musculus (house mouse), 2796 nucleotides. It is a transcript of the gene named aquaporin 9, with no coding region annotated. The record is from RefSeq and is marked reviewed. NCBI's taxonomy places the organism in Eukaryota, Metazoa, Chordata, Mammalia, Rodentia, Muridae. The transcript has 7 exons.
GGAUUAAGUCACAGUUCCUAAUUAGGACAGGCUCUCUGACACAGUCAGGUAUCUCUUUAGUCGCCUCCAGAGAUCCGUGCAGAGCUAAGUGAGCUUGGUUUUUUUAAAAUUCUUUUUUGUUUGGUUUGGUUUUCAUGUGGUAGUGAAGGCAGGAAACUGAGCGAGCAGACCUUGGUGGAAAGCUUACCUCUGGCAGAAACCCCAAGAUGCCUUCUGAGAAGGACCGAGCCAAGAAGAACCUCGUGCAGAGGCUGGCCCUGAAGAGCUGUCUGGCUAAGGAGACACUCUCUGAGUUCCUGGGCACCUUUAUAAUGAUUGUCCUUGGAUGUGGCUCUAUUGCUCAAGCAGUCCUCAGUCGAGAAAAGGCUGGUGGGAUCAUCACUAUCAAUAUUGGAUUUGCAACGGCAGUUGUGAUGGCUCUUUAUGCGACUUUUGGUGUCUCUGGGGGCCACAUCAACCCAGCGGUGUCUUUUGCAAUGUGCACCUUUGGAAGGAUGGAGUGGUUCAAGUUCCCCUUUUAUGUGGGAGCUCAGCUUUUGGGAGCCUUUGUCGGGGCUGCAACUGUCUUUGGCAUUUACUAUGACGGACUCAUGGCCUUUGCUGAUGGAAAGCUGCUCAUCACGGGAGAAAAUGGAACGGCGUUCAUUUUCGCGACAUACCCAAAACCAUUUGUAUCCGUGCCAGGUGCCUUUGUAGACCAAAGCCCAUGGCCUAGGCGCAUCACACACAUAAAAGGGAGCUCCAGAAUUUUGUCUGCAAUACGAGGGGUUGAGCACAGGCCUUGAAAGGCAGGCUUUCCAUCAGUGAGCUCCAAAGAAUGAAGAUGUAUCAAUGCACGGCCAAGUCUACAGGUGGUGUCUACCAUGUUCCUCCUUCUGAUUGUCUUUGCCAUCUUUGACUCCAGAAACCUGGGGGUCCCCAGAGGCCUGGAGCCCAUUGUCAUUGGCCUCCUAAUCAUUGUCAUUUCCUGUUCUCUCGGACUCAACUCUGGUUGUGCCAUGAACCCUGCUCGAGACCUCAGCCCCAGGCUCUUCACUGCUCUGGCAGGAUGGGGAUUUGAGGUCUUCACAUUUGGAAAUAACUUCUGGUGGAUACCUGUCGUGGGCCCUAUGAUUGGAGCUGUCCUGGGAGGUCUCAUCUAUGUUCUUUUUAUCCAAAUGCAUCACUCGAACCCCGACCCAGAAGUGAAGGCAGAACCAGCCGAGAACAAUCUAGAAAAACACGAACUCAGCGUCAUCAUGUAGUGGCAUGACCAGGUCUAGAGUUACCAUUCAUCCUGUUCUUUCUUCAGAAAAGAUGGCAUCUGUGUGCCUGUGCAGACUUGGGGUGGGGACAUCUACCCAACCCUCUCUAGCUGACUGGGACAAAAAUAAAUCCCAAAGGCAUCCAUGAAAAACUCUACCAGUCACCCCUCCCCAGAACAGCACUAACUGUUUAUGAUGGGUAUUUGAUGGAAGACCGUACUCCUAGGUGAUUGCUAAGAUUUUGGAAACUUGACCAUGUGCUCGGCUGGAUGGCCUCAGAGACUUUUCUUACCCUGUAUGAAACUGUGUGAUCAAAGGUGACCAAAGGUUCUGUUUCACAAUCUAUAAAUACAUUCUAAAGCUGAAAGGCCAAACAGUGGAUGCACUUAACACCUAUGAAGUGGGGAGCAAAGGGUUAACACUCUACCAAGCUGAGCGCUACCACUAAUACCCAUCUUCUCCCAACCUAGGGCUGGAGAAAGCAGCAGACAGCAGCUGGAAGAAGGCAGUGGCAUUUAGAAACCUCAGGACAUGAGAUAAAUUUGGGAAACUGAAUGGCUUUCUUUUUAAUGGAAACCAUUUGUCAGAUUAAUCUCCUGCUCCUCUGCAUUUUAGAUGACAUCAAUUAAUUUCCAGGUCUUUAAGUUUAUAAUAACCUAAAAUACGAUUAUAACCUUGGCCGGGAAAAAUACACCGCUCGGUCUUUUAGCACUAGAGUGAGCCAUUAGGAGAGACCUUUUUAAUAAAUAGUUGGUGGCUACUCUCAUCCAUAUCCCCAGAAGCCCAAACUAAAAGCUAGUGGACUCUACCUGGUGGACUAAAGUUGGAGGUAGAUAAAGUCCCUGGGACAAAAGGAUAAGGUCGGGCUUUAGGACCCCCGGUUCCACGCGCCUUAUCCAGUUUGAUCCCAACAGCAAUUGUCUGAGGUGAAUGACCACAGCAUUCUUCUCAAAUGAGAAAUUCAGGUGACCUGAGCAAGUUGCCCUUUCUUCUGCAGGGGGCUUUGAGUGUUGCCUUAUGCCUUCCAGAAGCUUGCUAGCCGACUGAGGGUGUUUGAGCUGAGGGCAUCGGCAGCUUCCAGACGGUGUGGGCUUUGUAGAAGCACCACUCCGGGCCUUUGAUUUCCAUACGCCAUGUUUACUGUUUUUAUUCCCAGUUUUACUGAGGCACGGAUGAAGGGACAAGGUAGCCGUUUGAUAAUGUUCAUUUGUGGAGAAACAGAGGCCUUUCUUCCUUAGUGGCUCUCUGUCUCCGUCCCUGCCAGCCCUCCUCAGCCUCUCCUGGAGACAUUUCUCUAACUGAUGUUACUUCCAACCAGAGAAAGAACUGUUCUGUAUCAGGGGUGUGCCUUCACUGCCAACUGUUUAAAAGCCCGGCGUUCCUCGAUAACAGCAAGUUUCCCCAGGUGCUUUGCAAGACUAACAGAACAAGACAUGAAUGAGAAACAUCUGUGAUAUCCUGCGCUGUGCAACCUAUGGGCAUAUAAAUUCAUUUUCUGAGUCUGAAAUUACCUGGAUAUUUUCUAGUUUAAAUAAAUUUGGAGGGAUAUUAA